Molecule: small nucleolar RNA, 205 nt
Organism: Suncus etruscus (white-toothed pygmy shrew)
Lineage: Eukaryota; Metazoa; Chordata; Mammalia; Eulipotyphla; Soricidae
Product: small nucleolar RNA U3
Exons: 1
Source: RefSeq, a predicted model, not a curated record
AAGACUAUACUUUCAGGGAUCAUUUCUAUAGUAUGUGACUAGAGAAGUUUCUCUGAGCACCCGAAGCCACGAGGAGGAGCCAGAGCAUCCUCUCCUGAGCAUGAAGCCGGCUAUAGGUAUCGCUUCUGCGACUGCCUCUUGCCAUUGAUGAUCGUUCUUCCCUUCCUUUGGAAGGGGUAGAGGGAGAGAAUGCAGUCUGAAUGGU